Oncorhynchus tshawytscha (Chinook salmon) is the source of this 1614-nucleotide long non-coding RNA. The record is from Ensembl. Lineage: Eukaryota; Metazoa; Chordata; Actinopteri; Salmoniformes; Salmonidae.
UACAACCCAGAGCACGAUGCAUCAUCUUCAGAUGAAGAAGAAGAUGGGGAAGAAUACAACCCAGAGCACGAUGCAUCAUCUUCAGAUGAAGAAGAAAUCACCCAAGCUGAAAGAGAGACAUUUUUGUCAAAGAGCAGCAAAAAUAAUAUGGUCCUUGUCACCAUAUGACAACCAGGGCAGGAUGGGAGCACAAAAUGUCAUAAGGACGACCCCAGGGCCCACAAGACAUGCAGUUGCCCAUGUCCAGGACAUCGCCUCAACAUUCUACAUGUUCAUCACACCAGCCAUCGAAAAAAAUCAUCCUGGAGAUGACAAAUUUGGAGAGUUUCAUGGAUACAACUGGAAAAGGAUGGAACAGAUUGACCUGCUAAUCUUAGCAGGUGUGUAUAGGUCCCGAGGCGAGGCUACGUGUAAUCUACAUGUAGUCUCUGGGAUACAGAGAGUGGAAAAGAGUGGAAGGGCAAUUUUCCGUGCCACGAUGCCACUGAAAGUCUUUCACACUUUCUCAAGAAUGCUACGAUUUGAUAACCAUGUGUCAAGAACUGCAAGACGUGUGAGAGACAAACUGGUCUGGGAGAAGACAAAGAGGUCUGGGAGAAGUGGGUGGAGCAUCUGCCAUACCUCUAAAACCCUGAGCCUGAAGUAACAGUGGAUGAGAAACUGGUUCCAUUCAGAGGUCGCUGUCCUUUCCGGCAGUAUAUGCUCAGCAAGCCAGCAAAGUAUGGCAUCAAGACAUGGGUGGCCUGUGAAGCACAAACCAGCUACGCUUGGAAGAUGCAAGUCUACACAGGGAAGCCGACCAGUGGAGGCCCGGAGAAGAACCAGAGGAUGAGGGUUGUGCUUGAUAUGACAGAUGGACUGAGGGGGCACAAUGUCACGUGACAAUUUCUUCACCUCUUAUGAACUCAGCCAGCAGCUCCUGAAGAGGAAGAUCACCAUGGUUGGCACAGUUAGAAAGAACAAGCCUGAGCUCCCCUCUGCACUCCUCGAAACAAGGGGGAGAGAGGCCUUCUCAUCAAAGUUUGCCUUCACCCCCACCACCACUCUAGUCUCUUACCUCCCAAAGAGGAACAAGAGUGUGGUCCUCCUGAGCACACUGUACAAAACGGCUGAGUUCAGUGAUCGUGAGGACAGGAAGCCAGCCAUCAUCCUGGGCUACAACCACAACAAAGGAGGCGUGGACAACCUGGACAAGGUGAUUGGAACUUACAGCUGCAGGAGGGUGACUGCCCGCUGGCCCCUGGUCAUCUUCCAUAACAUCGUUGAUGUGUCCUCAUACAAUGCCUUUGUUAUAUGGAACAAGAUCAACCCUACCUGGAUGCCUGAUAAGCAGAACAAGAGGAGGGUGUUCCUGGAGCAGCUGGGAAAGGCACUUGUAACCCCACACAUUCAAAGAAGGGAGUGUCUCCCCCGCACACCAGCCUCUGCAGCACUUGUGAAAGCUGUUCAGGGGGCUGAAUCUUGUCCUGAUCCAUCUGAGGCUGCAGCUGGGGCAGGCAAGAGGAGGAGAUGCCAAUUCUGACCCCAAAGAAGGACUGUAAAACAAACACUAUGUGCUGCACAUGUGAGAAAUACAGUGGGACAAAAAAGUAUUUAGUCAGCCACCAAUUGUGC